AUCAGCUAUAUCGGUGGAUCACUUGGCUCGUAGAUCGAUGAAGAACGCAGUGAAUUGCGUUAAGAAUCUCGAAUUACAGAUAUUAUGAGAGACAUAUUUUCGAUUGCAUAUUGCAUCGUUGGGCAUUUGCUCAUCGAUAUACCCGACUCAGGGUGUGUAUC
RNAcentral lists this ribosomal RNA (161 nucleotides) under Aphelenchoides bicaudatus. RNAcentral's name for it is "5.8S ribosomal RNA". It matches the Rfam family "5.8S ribosomal RNA". From Rfam's summary of the family: 5.8S ribosomal RNA (5.8S rRNA) is a component of the large subunit of the eukaryotic ribosome. It is transcribed by RNA polymerase I as part of the 45S precursor that also contains 18S and 28S rRNA. The record is from RNAcentral. Lineage: Eukaryota; Metazoa; Nematoda; Chromadorea; Rhabditida; Aphelenchoididae.